GCAAGGCUCUGAUGUCUUGACCCCAAAUGACAGCUGAUCUAAAGUCCAAUGAUUCAGAAACUUACCAGGUUGAAGAGACAUUUCCUGGUCCUUGAGAAGAUGAUGCCAAAUUCACCUCAGGUGAGACCCCAGUAUGAAUCAUGUCCUGGAGAAUCCUCACCUUCUACUGCAGAAAUGCAUGCUCCAUCUGUGUGCGAGGAGGUAGAAGAGGCACUGUGUGGGGAUGGGAUUGCACUAACAGCUGAACCGGUGCAGAGUUAGCGCAAACCAUUUUGACUGAUACCACACGCAAACUGGAAAACAGACAGGCUGCUGGCCCCAUUUCCCAGAGCACAUCAGGAUGGGUGGGAGAACAAGCCUGGGUAAAACAAGUAGCCUCUAACACCUUCUAUCAUUCUCUAAAGGCAGAAAAUUUUGGAAGGUUUGGAACCAGUUGAAUCAUUCCUCCCUCCCUUCAUUUUUAGUCACCUCUGUAAUUCCUUGUUUUGGUUGGAAGCAAGAGUGACAACAUACCAGAAGAAAAGCCGCUCUCUCUGGGUAUUACUGGCUUGGCUAUAACCAUGAAAGGCUGGAAAUGCCAAAACAAAGCCCCAUCACAAAGUGCCUCAGCCCAAAGUGUUUCUAGUAAAUUAGGGAUGCAAGUUUGGAUGCUUCUGCAAAUACACUCUCUGAGCCUCCUGAGGUUUGCCUGUGGCUCAAUAUCAGUAUCAUGUAGUGUACUCACUCCCUGCAAGCCCCCUUAGGUCAGACUUGAUAUUGCAGGAGACUUUUGUCUCCAGCACCCCUGUAGGCUGGCUAUCUUUCCAUAUCACUCACCUCUAGAGAGAUCUUCUUUGGCCUGGCCCUGCAGCCAAGUCACAUAAAAGUUCUAAACCCCUUCAAGUGUAAUGAAGUCCAACUCUAAGGCCAAGUAAACCUCUAAACUAAUAAGACUUCUGCCCUUCUUGGGUUCCACUGAAAUGAUCUUAUUGGCCCUACCUCAGGGCCUCCCCACCCCAGGAGCCCAUCCUGCUCCUACAGAGUGCCUCCUCUGUUGCUUUUUGUGUAGCAGGUUUUCACCCACUGCCUCCCUUUCUCUCCCCAGGAACUCUGGUAGCCUUCCCUAGGGAACUCUCU
Molecule: long non-coding RNA, 1116 nt
Filed under: Chrysemys picta bellii (western painted turtle)
Lineage: Eukaryota; Metazoa; Chordata; Testudines; Emydidae
Description: lncRNA (ENSCPBG00000007230.1)
Source: RNAcentral